UCAAAGGGAUAAACGGCUAAAGUCGCCACGUCCGCAUGACUUCGCCGUUUUGACCAACAUCCUGUUGC
This 68-nucleotide small RNA is filed under the name Lederbergia galactosidilytica. RNAcentral's name for it is "Bacillus galactosidilyticus Bacillaceae-1 RNA". It matches the Rfam family "Bacillaceae-1 RNA". The record is from Rfam by way of RNAcentral. Lineage: Bacteria; Bacillati; Bacillota; Bacilli; Caryophanales; Bacillaceae.